Molecule: ribosomal RNA, 468 nt
Filed under: uncultured bacterium
Lineage: Bacteria
Description: bacterial SSU rRNA
Rfam family: Bacterial small subunit ribosomal RNA
Source: RNAcentral
CGCUGGCGGCGUGCUUAACACAUGCAAGUCGAGCGAUGAAGCUUCCUCGGAAGUGGAUUAGCGGCGGACGGGUGAGUAACACGUGGGUAACCUGCCUCAUAGAGGGGAAUAGCCUUCCGAAAGGAAGAUUAAUACCGCAUAAGAUUGUAAUAUCGCAUGGUAUAGCAAUUAAAGGAGCAAUCCGCUAUGAGAUGGACCCGCGUCGCAUUAGCUAGUUGGUGAGGUAACGGCUCACCAAGGCGACGAUGCGUAGCCGACCUGAGAGGGUGAUCGGCCACAUUGGGACUGAGACACGGCCCAGACUCCUACGGGAGGCAGCAGUGGGGAAUAUUGCACAAUGGGGGAAACCCUGAUGCAAGCAACGCCGCGUGAGUGAUGACGGUCUUCGGAUUGUAAAGCUCUGUCUUCAGGGACGAUAAUGACGGUACCUGAGGAGGAAGCCACGGCUAACUACGUGCCAGCCGCCGC